This 253-nucleotide ribosomal RNA is filed under the name uncultured bacterium. RNAcentral describes it as "partial 16S ribosomal RNA". It matches the Rfam family "Bacterial small subunit ribosomal RNA", at positions 524 to 776 of the family's 1533-position model. The record is from RNAcentral.
UACGUAGGGUGCGAGCGUUAAUCGGAAUUACUGGGCGUAAAGCGUGCGCAGGCGGUUUUGUAAGCCAGAUGUGAAAUCCCCGGGCUUAACCUGGGAAUGGCAUUUGGGACUGCAAGGCCUGAGUGCGGCAGAGGAGACUGGAAUUCCUGGUGUAGCAGUGAAAUGCGUAGAUAUCAGGAGGAACACCGAUGGCGAAGGCAGGUCUCUGGGCUGACACUGACGCUCAUGCACGAAAGCGUGGGGAGCAAACAGG